Molecule: ribosomal RNA, 253 nt
Filed under: uncultured bacterium
Lineage: Bacteria
Description: partial 16S ribosomal RNA
Rfam family: Bacterial small subunit ribosomal RNA
Source: RNAcentral
UACGAAGGGUGCAAGCGUCAAUCGGAAUUACUGGGCGUAAAGCGCGCGUAGGUGGUUCAGUAAGUUGGAAGUGAAAUCCCCGGGCUCAACCUGGGAACUGCUUUCAAAACUGCUGAGCUAGAGUACGGUAGAGGGUGGUGGAAUUUCCUGUGUAGCGGUGAAAUGCGUAGAUAUAGGAAGGAACACCAGUGGCGAAGGCGACCACCUGGACUGAUACUGACACUGAGGUGCGAAAGCGUGGGGAGCAAACAGG